UUGGUGGCAAUCACAGUCUUUAAUUAUUAAUUGUCAUAUUUCUGAUUUGUUAGCAAGUGCCAGCUUGUAGGCUGGUUGAAGUACAGAACUCAGAGGAAAAAAGAAAUUAAAUUUUAGCUUUCUGGAGAGCAGCCCCUCUCUGGCACCAUCAAACACUUCUUUGUUUCCCUUCAAUUUGGAACUCUUCAAACAUCAGGGGUUGUGAGGGUUUGGCCAUUCUUUUAUCUUGGGUCCAUGUGAGUGACAGAAAUGGUGGGGCCUGGGAAAGAUCUCCCUCCUUUACAUUUUCUCUUCUCCCUCCUCCUCCUUAUCUUUUGAUGGAAGGAAAGAAGAAGAGGGGAAGGACGGGAGGGAGGGAUGGAGUGGAGGGAAAAAUUCUAUUGACAUCCCAUGAUAAGGGUGCAGAGGGGCGCUACACGUCUCUCCUUUCUGCAAUCAGCUCUCCCACCCCGGUCCCUCUUCCUUCAAGGGACCCAUGAGGACCUCUAUUCUUCUCCGUACCUGAGGUUCUCUCAACAGAAAGAAGUUGCAAGUGGGACCUCCUCAUGCCACCCUCAUCCCCAAUAGGAACAAUUAGGCCAGGCUUCGAUGUCACUGAGGAGGGGACCAGCACGCCUCUGAGGACAGUAGGAAAAGCCUAGGCAGGUGUUAGAGCAGGGAGUGGGGUCCCCAGGAGCUGAGGGCCCCAGGAUCGACAUGAUUCUGAAGGUGAUUGUCAUGGGUGCAGGGAGCAGGCGGCGACACCGUCUAGGCUUCCUGGGGGCCGUCCUGGGCCUCGGCGGCCACGGUGCUGGACUGGAGCAGGAAGUCUUUGUAGGCCAUCUCGGCUUCCUCCUUGGAUGACUAAGGGGCAAGAGGAGAGGCAUCAGUGUUGGGGGCACUGGCUCAGUGGGUGGAGUCGGGGGAGGGGAGGUGCUUAAUGUCCUGAAUUCGUGAUCUUGGUCCAAGCAACACAAGCCUUUGGGGCCCACUGUUCU
Molecule: long non-coding RNA, 977 nt
Filed under: Pan troglodytes (chimpanzee)
Lineage: Eukaryota; Metazoa; Chordata; Mammalia; Primates; Hominidae
Description: long non-coding RNA NONPTRT000633
Source: RNAcentral